GAAGACCUGGGACUUUUCUCUACUAAAACUUUGGUGGAAGCUAACAAUGAACAUAUGGUAGAAGUGAGGACACAGUUGUUGCAGCCAGCAGAUGAAAACUGGGAUCCCACUGGAACAAAGAAAAUCUGGCAUUGUGAAAGUAAUAGAUCUCAUACUACAAUUGCUAAAUAUGCACAGUACCAGGCCUCCUCAUUCCAGGAAUCAUUGAGAGAAGAAAAUGAAAAAAGAAGUCAUCAUAAAGACCACUCAGAUAGUGAAUCUACAUCGUCAGAUAAGUAAGUCAUUUUUAAUGUCCACUUAGUAUUUCUUUUUAAAAGGCAUGUUUCUAAUCCUGUGUCUCUUUUUUAAGUUCUGGGAGGAGGAGGAAAGGACCCUUUAAAACCAUAAAGUUUGGGACCAAUAUUGACCUAUCUGAUGACAAAAAGUAAGUCCUUGUAGUAAUAUUUCUGUGAACUGAUGCAAAGAGUUAUCCUGUGCUAGAUUGGGAAUUCUGUACAAUUUCCUCUUCUGUUUCAUUUAUUUUCUUUUCUUUUUUUUAAGUUGACAUGAAUUUAAGCUAAACUUUUUC
RNAcentral lists this long non-coding RNA (568 nucleotides) under Rhinopithecus bieti (black snub-nosed monkey). RNAcentral's name for it is "lncRNA (ENSRBIG00000046570.1)". The record is from RNAcentral. Lineage: Eukaryota; Metazoa; Chordata; Mammalia; Primates; Cercopithecidae.